RNAcentral lists this long non-coding RNA (6828 nucleotides) under Lactuca sativa (garden lettuce). RNAcentral's name for it is "long non-coding RNA (LSAT_LNC008540)". The record is from RNAcentral. Lineage: Eukaryota; Viridiplantae; Streptophyta; Magnoliopsida; Asterales; Asteraceae.
CCUCUCCCACCCUCAUUUUCAUCACACAUUUCUCCUUCUUUCUUCUCUUUACUCUCUCUCUCUCUAGAACCUCUCUAGCCCCGAAACCCCCCGAAAAGCCUAGGGAACCUCCCUAGCACGUGGAAGCCCCGGAGUGCUCGACGGCUCCGAGAAGAAGAGCUUUUCGGCUCGGGAACGCUGCUCCAAGCAAUGCCCAAUUUUCUAUAAAACCCACUGUAAGUGAGCUACGCCUACGCUAUUUUUAAUAUAUCGUUUAUUUAAUUAGAGUAACGUUAUUAGGAACUUAUAAUAAGUACUUGGGCUAUUAUUAUGGGUUAUAUAAGUAUUGUUUGACGCUUAUAUAAUAGUAAUAAUAGCUAGACUAUUAAUUAGUCUCGGCGAAUAAUAGACUAAACUCUAGUGGUAAUAAUACUAGGUUUCGUCGAAGGAAAUUAUUUUUAAGAAGCGAAGCGCUGUCUGAGUUCGGAUUCACUACCUUUUCAAGUGAGUGCAUACUUAUUUUCAGCUACACAUAGGUAUGAAGUAUUUUAUAUAUAAAUUACGUGUUGUGUGUGCAUAUUAUCUGUAUACUUGCUAUCUAUGCUGGAUGAACAAUUUUAUAUAUAUUUUUUUAAAUGAUAUAAACUGUAUAUGUAUUUUAUAUCUACAAAAUGUGUUGGGUAAAACAUGGGUAGAUGUAAUAGUUGUUGUGUGACAAAAUAAAAUAAUGAGAGGCCUCGUUAUAGAUGUUAUUGAUGAUCCAGUCAUCUAGCAGAGUAUAGAUGACGACCACGGACUAUUCUAGACAGUCCAGUGGAACACUAGCAGGCUCGCAACCUGUAGGUGUUUAUUUGAACUGUGUGCUCACCAGAUGUACUCCAUCCCCCACAUGGUUGCCUUAAGGACAUUUAUUGCUGAGGAAUCCCCUUAGCAGUAGUGUCCAUCCCGAUGAUAGUCCUUAGACUAGGUCCCUUGUGUUAGAUGUUUUAGGGACGUAAAGUGAGGAUAACGGGAACGGGUAAUCGGGUUUGUUUGGUUUGAUAAAGCUAAUAAACUUAUUUAUUGUGGGUUGAAAACCCUAUGUGCUCACCAGGCUCCCAAGCCUGACCCACUCAGUUUCUUGUAUUACAGGUAGUGGCGCAUGAGCAUAGAUGUGAUGUCUUGGGAUGAGAGAUUAAUGGAUUUUAGGCCUGUAAAUACGGAAUAAUGUAGUAAGGCCUAUGUUGUAUUGUUUAUGCUUAUGAUCUGUAUCGAACAUGACAUCCUGAGUCUUUUUAAUGAAAUACAUUUCUACGGAAAUGCUUUUGAUAAAUCUUUAUCAUAUUUUGUUUUGGGACAAAUUCCGCAACACUUUUAUUUAAAAUGUUACUCUGAUUUUUAAACAAAGCAUAAACAAAAUCGGUCUUUUCUGGCCGUGAAAAUGGGGAUGUCACAGUUGGUAUCAGAGCAUUAGUUUAAGCGAACUAGGAAUUUGUAGGAUUUCUAGACUUAAACUUAGAAUGCUAAGCGAUGAUUGUGAGGUGUGAGCACUAGCUUAUUUUAGGAAUUAUGCCUAAAAUGCUUUUAUGUGCUAAAUGCUUUGUGCCUGACAUGCUAUUAUUUGUUUGGAUCUAUGGUCUGUUGCCGACCGGAUCUGGAAACCUUAUGUGUUUAGGAUUCUAAACGUACGACUACGAUAUUAGAACUAGCAUGUAAACGUUUCGGAGAGAUAAGGAUGAUUUGAACAUCAGUCCUAAAUAAAGAUCUAAAUUCACCUUAUUCGGUGUAUAGAUGAAGAUGGAAAGGACCCGCAGCGGAAAUGUAAAUGCAAAUGGAAACAGAAACCAACCCCCAGUGAUUGAGCAAAUACCGGUUGUGGAAGCCGCUACUGAGCCAAUAACGAUGGCCGGAGUGCAUGCGAUGAUCCAGACGAUGUUGGAUCGUCAAAUGGAGGAAACCAGACGUUUGCUCCAACAAAAUCAAGAGGAAGCGACCAUACAGAUCGAACAACCCGAGUUGAACGAAGGGCAGACUGAGGAAGGAAACUACAGUGGAACCGUUGGUCAAGUAAACCCACCAAUAGUCCAACAAAACAACCAAGAUGACGGAGUCGAGAGAAAUGGAUGCAAGUACAAGGAUUUUCUGACUUGCAAGCCAUCGACUUUCACUGGAAAAGAAGAUCCGAUCGGGGUCAUGGAUUGGAUCUCGGAGAUGGAGUUAGCUUUCAUGACGUGCGGUUGUAGAGGAAAAGUACAGACCACGUUUGCAGUGCGUCAGUUUCGAGGAGGCGCUGUACAUUGGUGGAAUACCUUGGGGAAGACUUUAAGCCCCAACGAGCCCCUACAACUGACAUGGGCAGAAUUUCUGGUGCAAUUCAAAUGAAAGUACUGUUCAGCUCAAAACAUGCUCGAGCUAGACAACCAGUUCCUAACCCUGAAGAAGGGAAGCAUGUGAAUCGAUGAAUACACAAACAACUUCACAGAAAAGAUGGAGUUUUCCUUGCAUCUUGUUUCGCAUGAGCUGACGAAAAUCGAUAAGUACGCAAAGGGACUUCCAUGGGAGUACGCGGUGCUAGUGCGUCAGGCACAUACUCUGGAGGCAGCUAUCUGGGCUGCCAAGUCUGUGAAGGAUAUGAUUAAGGGAAGAGCUACCAGUAAGGUUGAGGUUAGAGAGAAGAGGAAGUUUGAAGGGUCUGCUAAACCCAACAAAAAUAAGAGCAAGUUCGGUUCAAAGAAGUUCGUGGGAGGAGGAAAUGAAUUGAAAUGGUGCGAGAAGUGCAAGAAGAAGCCCUCGGGAAAAUGUAGCGAGGAAGUAACCUGCUACAAGUGUGGGAAAACGGGGCACUAUGCCAAUGAGUGCACCAUCAACAAGAGGGUGUGCUACAAGUGUCGUGAAGAAGGGCAUAUUGCUAAGGAUUGCCCAAAGAAGAAAGAUGCGGGAAGGCCCAACAUUCCACCGAAGCCGAAGGUGAGAGCCUUCCAGAUGACGCUCGAGGCUGCAAAGGAGGCAACAGAUGUUGCUUCAGGUGCCUUUCUUGUAAAUGGUUUGCCUACCAAUAUACUAUUUGAUUUCGGUGCCAACUACUCCUUUGUUUCGUGUAAAUUUGGUGGAAAACUAGCAUUACCUAUAGAAAAACUUGAUAAUUCCCUGAUUGUAGAAGUUGCCAGUGGCAAAUUCGUACAUGUUAGUAAUCGUAUUAACAACGUAGUCAUCGACCUAAACGGAAACGAAUUCCAUGAAAAGCUAUUACCCAUAGAGUUAAAUAGUUUCGACAUCGUUUUGGGUAUGGGUUGGCUUAGCGCCAACGAUGUCGAGAUAUUAUGCCGAAAGAAGAUAGUUAGGAUAAAUCAUCCUGGAAAUGAGUCAUUUAUGGUGUACGAGGACAAACGAAGAGUGAAUUCUAGAAUCAUCUCCCUGAUGAAAUCCAGAAAAUGUUUAUCCAAGGGACGUGCAUCAUAUUUGGCAUUUGUGAUUGAUGCUAAGAAAGAAAAGAAGGAGGUGAAGAAUAUACCGGUUGUGUGCGAUUAUCUGGAAGUCUUUCCCGAAGAUCUUCCCAGAUUACCACCUGAUAGGCAAGUGGAGUUUUGGAUAGACUUGUUACCAGGUACAACACUGAUAGCAAAGGCACCUUACCGAUUAGCACCAACGGAGAUGAAGGAGCUUAUGACGCAACUUCAGGAGCUGUUGGACAAUGGUUUAAUUCGACCUAGUUCAUCACCAUGGGGAGCUCCGAUGUUAUCCGUGAAGAAAAAGGACGGAAGUAUGAGAAUGUGUAUAGACUACCGCGGUGAAGAACAAGUAUCCAUUGCCGAGGAUUGAGACCUAUUUGAUCAGCUGCAAGGUUCGAGCUACUUCUCAAAGAUCGAUCUUAGGUCAGGAUAUCAUCAGCUGAAGAUAAGAGAGCAGGAUAUUGAGAAGACUGCAUUUAGAACGAGAUAUGGACACUACGAGUUCUUGGUUAUGUCAUUCGGACUAACCAAUGCUCCAGAAGCGUUCAUGGAUUUGAUGAAUAGGGUUUGUAAGCCAUUCCUUGAUAAAUCCUUGAUAGUGUUCAUCGACGACAUUCUGAUCUACUUGAAAAGCCAAGAGGAGCAUGGCAAGCACCAACGGGAAGUGUUGGAAGUGUUAAAGAAGGAGAAGCUUUACGCCAAGUUCUCUAAAUGCGACUUUUGGAUACGAGAAGUCCAGUUCUUGGGUCACAUGGUUAACCAAGAAGGGAUAAUGGUUGACCCCGCAAAGAUCAAGGCUAUGAUGAAGUGGGAACGUCCGAAAAAUCCGACGGAUAUUCGAAGCUUUCUAGGAUUAGCCGGAUAUUAUCGACGAUUUAUCCAAUGCUUUUCUUCGAUAGCUGAUCCAUUGACGGCAUUGACCCACAAAGGAGCUACAUAUACGUGGAGUGAGCAACACGAUGUGGCAUUCGAGAAGCUAAAGAAGAAGUUAUGUGAAGCACCGAUACUUUCUCUACCCGAUGGAGUUGAAGACUUCGCGGUAUACAGUGAUGCAUCUGGAGUCGGGUUGGGUUGUGUUCUGAGCCAAAGAGAAAAGGUGAUAGCAUACACAUCUUGACAAUUGAAAGAGCAUGAAAAGAACUACCCCACUCAUGAUCUAGAGUUGGCAGCGGUAGUAUUUGCCUUAAAAAUAUGGAGGCAUUACCUCUAUGGCACGAAGUGCAAGCUUUUGAAUGAUCAUAAGAGCCUCCAGUAUAUCUUUAAUCGGAAAGAAUUGAACAUGAGGCAACGACGCUGACUAGAGUUACUCAAGGACUACGACUGUGAGAUACUUUACCACCCCAGUAAAGCAAAUGUUGUUGCUGAUGCUCUCAGUCGGAAAGUCAACCUUGAAAGGAAAAGGCCAAGAGCGUUGAGAAUUGAAGUCGUCUCGACAAUUGCGGAAAGUAUCAGGAAAGCCCAAAAAGAAGCUUUAGAGAAGAAUGACCGAAAGGAAGAACGUUUGGGCAAAACGGUAGUGUUCGGUACAAACAGUCCGAUGGAAACAUUCUAAUGGGCCAAAUCUCACUUGGAAAACAGAAAGUGACAUGAUGAGUCGCUACCCACAUCUGUUUGCUGAUGCAUGAUUCCGGGACGGAAUCAUACUAAGGGGGAGAGAAUUGUAACGCCCGGGUUUCAGGGCUUAGCAUUUUUGGACGAUGUAAUAGUCUAGGUCAACUAUUGUAACUCUUUUUGAAGUAAUAAAGAUGAAAUAUUUGAAUUCUAUGCGAAUUAUGUGUAUUAUAAAUAUAUAGUUAAUAAAGAAUAACAAUAAGCGUCAAAUUUAAAGUGUGAGAUAAGUCCAACAUCUUUACAUAAAGUUGUAGUGGUCGAAACAAGGAUUCUGGGGAUAUAAAGAACGCCAAAAUCCGAGUUAUAACGAAGAAGUUAUGGCCCGCCGAAGUUUUACGGCAAAACCGGCAUAACACCGGGAGACGUAAAUAGUGAAUUUACGAUGGAGGACUUUUUAUCCUUAAUGAUCUAAACCAAAGUUGUAGUAUAUGUUAAAUCGAGAACAUCCAUAAAAAGAACGCCCAAAUCUGACUGCGUAUGAGGAAGUUAUGAUUUUUCUAAGAUUCGGCUUAGCAGUGCACGACCCGAAACACGAAUUUUAGUUCGAGCGGUUUUUGGCUUAUGCGACCUAAAUGAGAGUUGAAGAACUCAUUAAUAGGAACUCAACGGUAAAAAGACAAACGAAAACAAAGUCCGUAUGUAGAAGUUAUGAAUUUUACGCGGACGUUUAACAAUAUAAUCUCCUUGUACUGUUAAAUUUAAGAUCGGUCUAGAAUUAGCCGACGGAGUCAAAAUGAAAGUUGUAGAUCUUAUUUUUACCUACGCGUGGAUAUAAAGAACUUCAAAAACAGAGGUCGUAUGUGAAAGUUACGGAUUUAGAAGUUGGAAGUGUGCUAUGCGAAAAUGGGUGAUAUGGCACAAUCUUGGCCAUUGCUUUCUCCUCAAGUCUUGCCACUAGAUGGUGACAUGUGGUACCAAGAUCAGCCAAUUUUCACCCUAUAAAUAGAACCUCUCCCACCCUCAUUUUCUUCACACCUUUCUCAUUCUUUCUUCUCUUUACUCUUUCUCUAGAACCUCUCUUUAACCCCGAAACCCCCCGAAAAGCCUAGGGAACCUCCCUAACACGAGGCGAAAGCCCCGGAGUGCUCGACGGCUCCAAGAAGAAGAGCUUUUUGGCUCAGGAAAGCUGCUCCAAGCAAAGCUCAGUUUUCUAUAAACCCGCUGUAAGUGAGCUACGCCUACGCUAUUUUUAAUAUAUCGUUUAUUUAAUUAUAGUAACGUUAUUAGGAACUUAUAAUAAGUACUUGGGCUAUUAUUAUGGGUUAUAUAAGUAUUGUUUGACGCUUAUAUAAUAGUAAUAAUAGCUAGACUAUUAAUUAGUUUCGGCGAGUAAUAGACUAAACUCUAGUGGUAAUAAUACUAGGUUUCGUCGAAGGAAAUUAUUUUUAAGAAGCGAAGCGCUGUCUGAGUUCAGAUUCACCACCUUUUCAAGUGAGUGCAUAGUUACUUUCAGCUUACACAUAGAUAUGAAGUACUUUAUAUAUAAAUUAGGUGCUGUGUGUGCAUAUUAUCUGUAUACUUGCUAUCUAUGCUGGAUGAACGAUUUUAUACAUUUUUUUUAAAUGAUAUAAACUGUAUAUGUAUUUUAUAUCUACAAAAUGUGUUGGGUAAAACAUGGGUAGAUGUAAUAGUUGUUGUGUGACAAAAUAAAAUAAUGAGAGGCCUCGUUAUAGAUGUUAUUGAUGAUCCAGUUGUCUAGCGGAGUAUAGAUGACGACCAUGGACUAUUCUAGAUAGCCAGUGGAACGCUAGCAGACUCGCAACCUGUAGGUGUUUAUUUGAACUGUGUGCUCACCAGGUGUACUCCAUCC